UGGGCGUAAGCGCGCGCAGGCGGUCCUUUAAGUCUGAUGUGAAAGCCCACGGCUCAACCGUGGAGGGUCAUUGGAAACUGGGGGACUUGAGUGCAGAAGAGGAAAGCGGAAUUCCACGUGUAGCGGUGAAAUGCGUAGAGAUGUGGAGGAACACCAGUGGCGAAGGCGGCUUUCUGGUCUGUAACUGACGCUGAGGCGCGAAAGCGUGGGGAGCAAACAGGAUUAGAUACCCUGGUAGUCCACGCCGUAAACGAUGAGUGCUAAGUGUUAGAGGGUUUCCGCCCUUUAGUGCUGCAGCUAACGCAUUAAGCACUCCGCCUGGGGAGUACGGCCGCAAGGCUGAAACUCAAAGGAAUUGACGGGGGCCCGCACAAGCGGUGGAGCAUGUGGUUUAAU
This 396-nucleotide ribosomal RNA is filed under the name Neobacillus drentensis. RNAcentral's name for it is "bacterial SSU rRNA". It matches the Rfam family "Bacterial small subunit ribosomal RNA", at positions 555 to 950 of the family's 1533-position model. The record is from RNAcentral. Lineage: Bacteria; Bacillati; Bacillota; Bacilli; Caryophanales; Bacillaceae.